RNAcentral lists this non-coding RNA (57 nucleotides) under Sorangium sp. So ce836. The record is from RNAcentral. Lineage: Bacteria; Pseudomonadati; Myxococcota; Polyangiales; Polyangiaceae.
GUAAGCCGUGUGCGGGAAAUCCGCACGCACGGUUUGAAAGGGGGUCUUGCCCUUCAU